ACGUAUGUCGCAAGCGUUAUCCGGAUUUAUUGGGCGUAAAGCGCGUCUAGGCGGUUUGGUAAGUCUGAUGUGAAAAUGCGGGGCUCAACUCCGUAUUGCGUUGGAAACUGCCAAACUAGAGUACUGGAGAGGUGGGCGGAACUACAAGUGUAGAGGUGAAAUUCGUAGAUAUUUGUAGGAAUGCCGAUGGGGAAGCCAGCCCACUGGACAGAUACUGACGCUAAAGCGCGAAAGCGUGGGUAGCAAACAG
RNAcentral lists this ribosomal RNA (250 nucleotides) under uncultured bacterium. Its description in RNAcentral is "partial 16S ribosomal RNA". It matches the Rfam family "Bacterial small subunit ribosomal RNA", at positions 525 to 775 of the family's 1533-position model. The record is from RNAcentral.